UGAGAGGAUGAUCCCCCACACUGGCACUGAGACACGGGCCAGACUCCUACGGGAGGCAGCAGUGAGGAAUAUUGGGCAAUGGGCGAAAGCUUGACCCAGCCAUGCCGCGUGCAGGAUGACUGUCCUAUGGAUCGUAAACUGCUUUUAUACGAGAAGAAUUUCCCCGAUUCUUCGGGGGUUGACGGUAUCGUAUGAAUAAGGGUCGGCUAACUCCGUGCCAGCAGCCGCGGUAAUACGGAGGACCCAAGCGUUAUCCGGAUUUACUGGGUUUAAAGGGUGCGCAGGCGGACUAGUAAGUCGAUGGUGAAAGCCUACAGCUUAACUGUAGAAUUGCCAUUGAUACUGCUAUUCUUGGGUGCAGUCGAAGCGAGUGGAAUGUGUAGUGUAGCGGUGAAAUGCAUAGAUAUUACACAGAACACCGAUAGCGAAAGCAGCUCGCUAGGCUGUUACUGACGCUGAGGCACGAAAGCGUGGGGAGCGAACAGGAUUAGAUACCGUGGUAGUCCACGCUGUAAACGAUGAUCACUAGUUGUUGGCGAUACAUUGUCAGUGACUGAGCGAAAGCGUUAAGUGAUCCACCUGGGAAGUACGUCCGCAAGGAUGAAACUCAAAGGAAUUGACGGGGGCUCGCACAACCGGUGGAACACGUGGUUCAAUUCGAUGCUACGCGAGGAACCUUACCUGGGCUUAAAUGCAGAACGACCUCCCGGGAAACCGGGAUUCCCUUCGGGACGGUUUGCAAGGUGCUGCACGGCUGUCGUCAGCUCGUGCCAUGAGGUGUCGGGUUAAGUCCCUUAACGAGCGCAACCCCUAUUGUUAGUCGCCAACAGGUAAUGCUGGGGACUCUAGCAAAACUGCCAGUGUAAGCUGGAGGAAGGUGGGGAUGACGUCAAGUCAGCAUGGCCCUUAUGUCCAGGGCUACACACGUGUUACAAUGGCCGGCACAAAGGGCAGCUACCACGCGAGUGGAUGCUAAUCUCUAAAUCCGGUCUUAGUUCGGAUCGGAGUCUGCAAUUCGACUUCGUGAAGGUGGAAUCGGUAGUAAUCGCGCAUCAGCAACGGCGCGGUGAAUACGUUCCCGAGCCUUGUACACACUGCCCGUCAA
RNAcentral lists this ribosomal RNA (1105 nucleotides) under uncultured organism. RNAcentral describes it as "bacterial SSU rRNA". It matches the Rfam family "Bacterial small subunit ribosomal RNA", at positions 293 to 1400 of the family's 1533-position model. The record is from RNAcentral.